AUGCUGGAGAUAUCAGAAGUGCGAAUGCUGACGUAAGUAACGAUAAAGGGGGUGAAAAGCCUCCUCGCCGGAAGACCAAGGGUUCCUGUCCAACGUUAAUCGGGGCAGGGUGAGUCGACCCCUAAGGUGAGGCCGAAAGGCGUAAUCGAUGGGAAGCAGGUUAAUAUUCCUGCACGACUUGUAAUUGCGAUGGGGGGACGGAGAAGGCUAGGUGGGCCAGGCGACGGUUGUCCUGGUGAAAGUGCGUAGGUGGUGUUUCUAGGCAAAUCCGGAGACACAACACUGAGACACGAGACGAACGCACUACGGUGCGGAAGCCAUUGAUGCCCUGCUUCCAGGAAAAGCCUCUAAGCUUCAGAUUACAAGUCAUCGUACCCCAAACCGACACAGGUGGUCGGGUAGAGAAUACCAAGGCGCUUGAGAGAACUCGGGUGAAGGAACUAGGCAAAAUAGAACCGUAACUUCGGGAGAAGGUUCGCUCUUGAUGGUGAAGUCCCUUGCGGAUGGAGCUGUCGGGAGUCGCAGUGACCAGAUGGCUGGGACUGUUUAUCAAAAACACAGCACUCUGCAAACACGAAAGUGGACGUAUAGGGUGUGACACCUGCCCGGUGCCGGAAGGUUAAUUGAUGGGGUUAGCGCAAGCGAAGCUCUUGAUCGAAGCCCCGGUAAACGGCGGCCGUAACUAUAACGGUCCUAAGGUAGCGAAAUUCCUUGUCGGGUAAGUUCCGACCUGCACGAAUGGUGUAACCAUGGCCAUGCUGUCUCCACCCGAGACUCAGUGAAAUCGAAUUCGCCGUGAAGAUGCGGUGUACCCGCGGCUAGACGGAAAGACCCCGUGAACCUUUACUACAGCUUGGCACUGAACAUUGAACCUACAUGUGUAGGAUAGGUGGGAGGCUUUGAAGGCGUGACGCCAGUUGCGCUGGAGCCGUCCUUGAAAUACCACCCUUGUAUGUUUGAUGUUCUAACGCAGGGCCCUGAAUCGGGCUCGCGGACAGUGCCUGGUGGGUAGUUUGACUGGGGCGGUCUCCUCCCAAAGAGUAACGGAGGAGCACGAAGGUUGGCUAAUCCUGGUCGGACAUCAGGAGGUUAGUGCAAUGGCAUAAGCCAGCUUAACUGCGAGACGGACAGGUCGAGCAGGUACGAAAGUAGGUCAUAGUGAUCCGGUGGUUCUGAAUGGAAGGGCCAUCGCUCAACGGAUAAAAGGUACUCCGGGGAUAACAGGCUGAUACCGCCCAAGAGUUCAUAUCGACGGCGGUGUUUGGCACCUCGAUGUCGGCUCAUCACAUCCUGGGGCUGAAGUCGGUCCCAAGGGUAUGGCUGUUCGCCAUUUAAAGUGGUACGCGAGCUGGGUUCAGAACGUCGUGAGACAGUUCGGUCCCUAUCUGCCGUGGGCGUUGGAUGAUUGAAGGGAGUUGCUCCUAGUACGAGAGGACCGGAGUGAACGAACCUCUGGUGUUCGGGUUGUCACGCCAGUGGCACUGCCCGGUAGCUAAGUUCGGAAUCGAUAACCGCUGAAAGCAUCUAAGCGGGAAGCGAGCCCUGAGAUGAGUCAUCCCUGACCCCUUGAGGGUCCUAAAGGGCCGUUGGAGACCACAACGUUGAUAGGUGGGGUGUGUAAGCGUAGCGAUACGUUGAGCUAACCCAUACUAAUUACCCGUGAGGCUUAACCAU
This 1674-nucleotide ribosomal RNA is filed under the name Aeromonas caviae. Its description in RNAcentral is "partial 23S ribosomal RNA". It matches the Rfam family "Bacterial large subunit ribosomal RNA", at positions 1270 to 2925 of the family's 2925-position model. Lineage: Bacteria; Pseudomonadati; Pseudomonadota; Gammaproteobacteria; Aeromonadales; Aeromonadaceae. The record is from RNAcentral.